AACACGUGGGGAACCUGCCCCAUAGUCUGGGAUACCACUUGGAAACAGGUGCUAAUACCGGAUAAGAAAGCGGAUCGCAUGAUCAGCUUUUAAAAGGCGGCGUAAGCUGUCGCUAUGGGAUGGCCCCGCGGUGCAUUAGCUAGUUGGUAAGGUAAGGGCUUACCAAGGCGAUGAUGCAUAGCCGAGUUGAGAGACUGAUCGGCCACAUUGGGACUGAGACACGGCCCAAACUCCUACGGGAGGCAGCAGAG
This 251-nucleotide ribosomal RNA is filed under the name uncultured Lactobacillus sp. RNAcentral's name for it is "partial 16S ribosomal RNA". It matches the Rfam family "Bacterial small subunit ribosomal RNA", at positions 112 to 354 of the family's 1533-position model. The record is from RNAcentral. Lineage: Bacteria; Bacillati; Bacillota; Bacilli; Lactobacillales; Lactobacillaceae.